This 413-nucleotide ribosomal RNA is filed under the name uncultured bacterium. RNAcentral's name for it is "bacterial SSU rRNA". It matches the Rfam family "Bacterial small subunit ribosomal RNA", at positions 505 to 916 of the family's 1533-position model. The record is from RNAcentral.
GUGUCAGCCGCCGCGGUAAUACAGAGGAGGCAAGCGUUGUUCGGAAUCACUGGGCUUAAAGGGCGCGUAGGCGGCCCGGCCAGUGUCCUGUGAAAUCCCCCGGCUCAACCGGGGAAUGGCAGGGCAUACUGCCGGGCUUGAGGCGGAUAGGGGUGCCUGGAACUCUAGGUGGAGCGGUGAAAUGCGUAGAUAUCUAGAGGAACGCCCGUGGCGAAAGCGGGGCACUGGGUCCGUCCUGACGCUGAGGCGCGAAAGCGUGGGUAGCAAACGGGAUUAGAUACCCCGGUAGUCCACGCCGUAAACUAUGCGCACUAGGUUUGCCGGUCUCUGACGAUCGGCGGGCCGAAGCAAAAGUCCUAAGUGCGCCGCCUGGGGAGUACGGCCGCAAGGCUGAAACUCAAAGGAAUUGGCGG